Molecule: ribosomal RNA, 253 nt
Filed under: uncultured bacterium
Lineage: Bacteria
Description: partial 16S ribosomal RNA
Rfam family: Bacterial small subunit ribosomal RNA
Source: RNAcentral
UACAGAGGGUGCGAGCGUUGUCCGGAAUCACUGGGCGUAAAGGGCGCGUAGGCGGCUCGGUCAGCGUGCGGUGAAAGCCCGGGGCUCAACCCCGGGUCGGCCGUGCGAACUGCUGGGCUGGAGCACUGUAGAGGCAGGUGGAAUUCCGGGUGUAGCGGUGGAAUGCGUAGAGAUCCGGAAGAACACCGGUGGCGAAGGCGGCCUGCUGGGCAGUAGCUGACGCUGAUGCGCGACAGCGUGGGGAGCAAACGGG